Long non-coding RNA from Haliotis rubra (blacklip abalone), 187 nucleotides. RefSeq lists it as uncharacterized. The record is from RefSeq and is a predicted model, not a curated record. The transcript is spliced from 2 exons. Lineage: Eukaryota; Metazoa; Mollusca; Gastropoda; Lepetellida; Haliotidae.
CGCCUACUACCCUAACGUCACCGGGGACUACGGCGUUGUCUUCUUUAUCCCGGGACUGGACGGUGUCAUUCUCAGCGCGUUCUACUCCGAGUAUCUCACUGCAAUAGCUCAGCAUGGAUUCGUCGUGGUCGCUAGUGACUACAUUUUUCCUGCGCUUGAUAACCCGUCCGGUUACCACAUGAACAAA